This 284-nucleotide unclassified non-coding RNA is filed under the name Hevea brasiliensis (rubber tree). The record is from RNAcentral. Lineage: Eukaryota; Viridiplantae; Streptophyta; Magnoliopsida; Malpighiales; Euphorbiaceae.
GUGGAGGAGCUACCGGAGCCAACGAGUUGAUCAUGUUCUGCUUGGCUGAUCAUGGAGAUGCUUUCCUCGUUCCUACACCUUACUAUCCAGCAUUCGACCGCGACCUGACAUGGCGAACUGGUGUCCAGAUUAUUCCAGUUGAUUGCUACAGCUCCAACAAUUUCCAGGUAACAAAGGAUGCACUUGAAUCAGCAUAUGAUAAAGCCCAAGAUGCCGGUAUUAAUGUCAAAGGCUUGAUCAUAGCCAACCCAUCGAAUCCACUGGGCACCAUUUUGGACAGGGAG